RNAcentral lists this ribosomal RNA (440 nucleotides) under uncultured bacterium. Its description in RNAcentral is "partial 16S ribosomal RNA". It matches the Rfam family "Bacterial small subunit ribosomal RNA", at positions 338 to 795 of the family's 1533-position model. The record is from RNAcentral.
CCUACGGGAUGCAGCAGUGGGGAAUAUUGCACAAUGGGGGCAACCCUGAUGCAGCGACGCCGCGUGAGCGCUGAAGUAUUUAGGUAUGUAAAGCUCUAUCAGCAGGGAAGAAAAUGAAGUUACGUGACUACGACGCACCGGCUAACUACGUGCCAGAAGCCGCGGUACUACGUAGGGGGCCAGCGUUAUCCGGAUUUACUGGGUGUUAAGGGGGCGUAGACGGUUCUGAAAGUCAGAUGUGAAAGCCCGGGGCUCAACCCCGGGACUGCAUUUGAAACUGUAAGGCUAGAGUGUCGGAGGGGCAGGCGGAAUGCCUAGUGUAGCGGUGAAAUGCUUAGAGAUUAGGAGGAACACCAGUUGCGAAGGCGGCCUGCCGGACGAUGACUGACGUUGAGGCACGAAAGCGUGGGGAGCAAACAGGAUUAGAUACCCGAGUAGUC